This 427-nucleotide ribosomal RNA is filed under the name uncultured bacterium. RNAcentral's name for it is "partial 16S ribosomal RNA". It matches the Rfam family "Bacterial small subunit ribosomal RNA", at positions 355 to 774 of the family's 1533-position model. The record is from RNAcentral.
UGGGGAAUAUUGCACAAUGGGCCCAAGCCUGAUGCAGCCAUGCCGCGUGUAUGAAGAAGGCCUUCGGGUUGUAAAGUACUUUCAGCGGGGAGGAAGGCGAUAAGGUUAAUAACCUUGUCGAUUGACGUUACCCGCAGAAGAAGCACCGGCUAACUCCGUGCCAGCAGCCGCGGUAAUACGGAGGGUGCAAGCGUUAAUCGGAAUUACUGGGCGUAAAGCGCACGCAGGCGGUCUGUCAAGUCGGAUGUGAAAUCCCCGGGCUCAACCUGGGAACUGCAUUCGAAACUGGCAGGCUAGAGUCUUGUAGAGGGGGGUAGAAUUCCAGGUGUAGCGGUGAAAUGCGUAGAGAUCUGGAGGAAUACCGGUGGCGAAGGCGGCCCCCUGGACAAAGACUGACGCUCAGGUGCGAAAGCGUGGGGAGCAAACA